GGAGCUUGCUCCUUGAUUCAGCGGCGGACGGGUGAGUAAUACCUAGGAAUCUGCCUGAUAGUGGGGGACAACGUUUCGAAAGGAACGCUAAUACCGCAUACGUCCUACGGGAGAAAGCAGGGGACCUUCGGGCCUUGCGCUAUCAGAUGAGCCUAGGUCGGAUUAGCUAGUUGGUGAGGUAAUGGCUCACCAAGGCGACGAUCCGUAACUGGUCUGAGAGGAUGAUCAGUCACACUGGAACUGAGACACGGUCCAGACUCCUACGGGAGGCAGCAGUGGGGAAUAUUGGACAAUGGGCGAAAGCCUGAUCCAGCCAUGCCGCGUGUGUGAAGAAGGUCUUCGGAUUGUAAAGCACUUUAAGUUGGGAGGAAGGGCAGUAAGCUAAUACCUUGCUGUUUUGACGUUACCGACAGAAUAAGCACCGGCUAACUCUGUGCCAGCAGCCGCGGUAAUACAGAGGGUGCAAGCGUUAAUCGGAAUUACUGGGCGUAAAGCGCGCGUAGGUGGUUCGUUAAGUUGGAUGUGAAAUCCCCGGGCUCAACCUGGGAACUGCAUC
Molecule: ribosomal RNA, 556 nt
Filed under: Pseudomonas taiwanensis
Lineage: Bacteria; Pseudomonadati; Pseudomonadota; Gammaproteobacteria; Pseudomonadales; Pseudomonadaceae
Description: bacterial SSU rRNA
Rfam family: Bacterial small subunit ribosomal RNA
Source: RNAcentral